UUCCAGACUCCUACGGGAGGCAGCAGUGAGGAAUAUUGGUCAAUGGGAGGAAUCCUGAACCAGCCAUGCCGCGUGCAGGGCGACGGCUCUACGAGUUGUAAACUGCUUUUGUACCGGGGUAAAAUGCCUUACGAGUAGGGUUUUGAAAGUACGGUACGAAUAAGGAUCGGCUAACUCCGUGCCAGCAGCCGCGGUAAUACGGAGGAUCCGAGCGUUAUCCGGAUUCAUUGGGUUUAAAGGGUGCGUAGGUUGUUUUAUAAGUUAGCGGUGAAAUACCGAUGCUCAACAUCGGGGCUGCCGCUAAUACUGUAGGACUAGAGAUCGGAUGCAGCAGGCGGAAUGUGUAGUGUAGCGGUGAAAUGCAUAGAUAUCACGCAGAACUCCGAUUGCGAAGGCAGCGCACCGGCGCCCUACUGACGCUCAGGCACGAAAGCGUGGGUAUCGAACAGGAUUAGAUACCCUUGUAAU
Molecule: ribosomal RNA, 468 nt
Filed under: uncultured bacterium
Lineage: Bacteria
Description: bacterial SSU rRNA
Rfam family: Bacterial small subunit ribosomal RNA
Source: RNAcentral